Phyllostomus discolor (pale spear-nosed bat) is the source of this 208-nucleotide long non-coding RNA. RefSeq lists it as uncharacterized. The transcript has 2 exons. NCBI's taxonomy places the organism in Eukaryota, Metazoa, Chordata, Mammalia, Chiroptera, Phyllostomidae. The record is from RefSeq and is a predicted model, not a curated record.
CCCCUCACGGUGUCUCUCGCACAGUAAUACAUGGCCGUGUCCUCAGUUUUCAGGUUGUUCAUUUGCAGAUAGAGCUUGUUCUUGCCAUUGUCUCUGGAGAUGGUGAAGCGGCCCUUCACAGAGUGGGCGUAGUAGGUGCUACCACCACUACUAAUGUGUGAGACCCACUCCAGCCCCUUCCCUGGAGCCUGGCGGACCCAGUUCAUAU